GACCCUAUCGUCUAGCGGUUAGGACACUGCCCUUUCACGGCAGCGGCACGGGUUCGAUUCCCGUUAGGGUCG
RNAcentral lists this transfer RNA (72 nucleotides) under Pedosphaera parvula Ellin514. It matches the Rfam family "tRNA". From Rfam's summary of the family: Transfer RNA (tRNA) molecules are approximately 80 nucleotides in length. Their secondary structure includes four short double-helical elements and three loops (D, anti-codon, and T loops). Further hydrogen bonds mediate the characteristic L-shaped molecular structure. tRNAs have two regions of fundamental functional importance: the anti-codon, which is responsible for specific mRNA codon recognition, and the 3' end, to which the tRNAs corresponding amino acid is attached (by aminoacyl-tRNA synthetases). tRNAs cope with the degeneracy of the genetic code in two manners: having more than one tRNA (with a specific anti-codon) for a particular amino acid; and 'wobble' base-pairing, i.e. permitting non-standard base-pairing at the 3rd anti-codon position. The record is from Rfam by way of RNAcentral. Lineage: Bacteria; Pseudomonadati; Verrucomicrobiota; Pedosphaerae; Pedosphaerales; Pedosphaeraceae.